GAUGAAGGACGUGCUAAUCUGCGAAAAGCGCCGGCGAGGUGAUAUGAACCCUUGACCCGGCGAUGUCCGAAUGGGGAAACCCAGUGUGUUCCGACACACUAUCGUUAACUGAAUACAUAGGUUAACGAGGCGAACCGGGGGAACUGAAACAUCUAAGUACCCCGAGGAAAAGAAAUCAACCGAGAUUCCCCCAGUAGCGGCGAGCGAACGGGGAGCAGCACGGAGUCUGAAUCAGCUUGUGUGUUAGUGGAACGGUCUGGAAAGUCCGACGGUACAGGGUGAUAGUCCCGUACACGAAAAUGCACAUGCUGUGAACUCGAAGAGUAGGGCGGGACACGUGGUAUCCUGUCUGAAUAUGGGGGGACCAUCCUCCAAGGCUAAAUACUCCUGACUGACCGAUAGUGAACCAGUACCGUGAGGGAAAGGCGAAAAGAACCCCGGCGAGGGGAGUGAAAAAGAACCUG
Molecule: ribosomal RNA, 464 nt
Filed under: Enterobacter hormaechei
Lineage: Bacteria; Pseudomonadati; Pseudomonadota; Gammaproteobacteria; Enterobacterales; Enterobacteriaceae
Description: partial 23S ribosomal RNA
Rfam family: Bacterial large subunit ribosomal RNA
Source: RNAcentral